This 619-nucleotide ribosomal RNA is filed under the name uncultured bacterium. RNAcentral's name for it is "bacterial SSU rRNA". It matches the Rfam family "Bacterial small subunit ribosomal RNA", at positions 8 to 651 of the family's 1533-position model. The record is from RNAcentral.
AGAGUUUGAUCCUGGCUCAGGAUGAACGCUAGCGGCGUGCCUUAUGCAUGCAAGUCGAACGGUCUUAAGCAAUUAAGAUAGUGGCGAACGGGUGAGUAACGCGUAAGUAACCUACCUCUAAGUGGGGGAUAGCUUCGGGAAACUGAAGGUAAUACCGCAUGUGGUGGACCGACAUAUGUUGGUUCACUAAAGCCGUAAGGCGCUUGGUGAGGGGCUUGCGUCCGAUUAGCUAGUUGGUGGGGUAAUGGCCUACCAAGGCUUCGAUCGGUAGCUGGUCUGAGAGGAUGAUCAGCCACACUGGGACUGAGACACGGCCCAGACUCCUACGGGAGGCAGCAGCAAGGAAUCUUGGGCAAUGGGCGAAAGCCUGACCCAGCAACGCCGCGUGAGGGAUGAAGGCUUUCGGGUUGUAAACCUCUUUUCAUAGGGAAGAAUAAUGACGGUACCUGUGGAAUAAGCUUCGGCUAACUACGUGCCAGCAGCCGCGGUAAUACGUAGGAAGCAAGCGUUAUCCGGAUUUAUUGGGCGUAAAGUGAGCGUAGGUGGUCUUUCAAGUUGGAUGUGAAAUUUCCCGGCUUAACCGGGACGAGUCAUUCAAUACUGUUGGACUAGAGUACAG